GCCAGCGUGGCAUAGUGGUUUGAGUAUUGGACUACAACUCUGGAGACCAGGGUUCAAACCCCUGCUCAACUA
This 72-nucleotide transfer RNA is filed under the name Phrynosoma platyrhinos (Desert horned lizard). RNAcentral's name for it is "tRNA-OTHER". Lineage: Eukaryota; Metazoa; Chordata; Lepidosauria; Squamata; Phrynosomatidae. The record is from RNAcentral.